Molecule: long non-coding RNA, 1183 nt
Organism: Ctenopharyngodon idella (grass carp)
Lineage: Eukaryota; Metazoa; Chordata; Actinopteri; Cypriniformes; Xenocyprididae
Exons: 2
Source: RefSeq, a predicted model, not a curated record
CCAGAGCCUGAAGGAAUUUGGAAAACCAGCCAGCUUCAUUUUUCACUAGCCUUUUGAGGAGCACUCGAGCGCCUUUUAUGUUACCGUGAUUCUCAGUGGCUUUCGUAAUCUGCAGGAGUAAUAAUGAACAAAUAGUUAAUGCAUUUAAUAUGAGUGACAGGCGAAAAGAUUGGACCGACUGAGACAGAAAGACAGACAGAUUGACGCAAAGGCAGGUCGCUUAUUCAAAACAAAGGCGUAGCUUGAUGACGCCUUGAUUUCGUGGAAUCAUGGGAUGUCCAAACGUCUACAGCCGGUGGAAAAGAAUCCGACAGGACUUCAUAUUAAUGGAUGAGCUAAUGUAUUAAAGAUUUAUUAACAUUACUGUGGUAUGAAGCAGGGUGUGGCUGAAAGCCGUUGGAGGAGUGGAACGAGGAACGAUUGUUAAUGAGAGACGAGCGUGACACACGGCUCGAGAGCAGCGGAGCUUUUAUUAUGCCGCAGACGAGCGCUUACGCUUCUUCCAGUCAAGCGUAUGUGGGGUAACACAGCGCUGUUUAUCAUAUUAGAUACAUUUUUGUGUUAAAAGUUGUUAUAAUGCUACUCUGCGUUCACUCGGCGGCUGCUAUGAGACACUUGUUGCACACUGCUGUAAGCUAGAUCGAUAUUAGUCAUGGUACAACAUGGUACUCGCGGUAAAUCAAAAAAACGAGAUUUAAACAAUAAGACUUACUGUGUUGAGCUAUAUAACAUGAUUAGUUUUCUGUCCAUGAAUGUAUCCAAACAGUUGCUCACCUGUCUAAUAAAACACAAAAUAUGUUUAAGCAUCUUUGGUGUUUCCAUGGUUUCUACAAAAUAAAGCCGAGGGUAACGCGGGUAUGAUGUCAUUGACAGGCGAUGCACGGACACGAUCUGUGUCCUAGUUAAAAUUGCUUAAUUCUCUGGAUUUAAACAUUCUUGGAAACAUUUGGGAUAAUGUAAGUACACAAGUCAACAAAAAAAAUAUAAUAUUGAUCUUGUGGUUUUUGGAUAUUUUAAUCCAAAAAUCUUACAUAUUGUGCCUUUAACUACGACUUUUGCCUCAAUAAACUCCAAAUUACUGCUUAUUAGUAGUAAUGUAGGUGUUAAUUUUAGGUAUUGGUAGGAUUAAGAAUUAUAUCAAAUAUAUAUAUAUAUAUAUAUAUAUAUAUAUAGUAAUUAAUAU